Molecule: ribosomal RNA, 121 nt
Filed under: Pteropus alecto (black flying fox)
Lineage: Eukaryota; Metazoa; Chordata; Mammalia; Chiroptera; Pteropodidae
Source: RNAcentral
AAAGGAGGGAAGACCAUUAAGGUCCAGAAUAUGAUUCCGUCUGAUCUCGGAAGCUAAGCAGGGUCAGGCCUGGUUAGUACUUGGAUGGGAGACCACCUAGAAAGACCAGGUGCUAUAGGUG